UACGUAGGGUGCGAGCGUUGUCCGGAAUUACUGGGCGUAAAGGGCUCGUAGGCGGCCAACUAAGUCGGAUGUGAAAUCCCCAGGCUCAACCUGGGAACUGCAUCCGAUACUGGAUGGCUUGAAUCCGGGAGAGGGAUGCAGAAUUCCAGGUGUAGCGGUGAAAUGCGUAGAUAUCUGGAGGAACACCGGUGGCGAAGGCGGCAUCCUGGACCGACACUGACGCUGAGGAGCGAAAGCCAGGGGAGCAAACGGG
This 253-nucleotide ribosomal RNA is filed under the name uncultured bacterium. RNAcentral's name for it is "partial 16S ribosomal RNA". It matches the Rfam family "Bacterial small subunit ribosomal RNA", at positions 524 to 776 of the family's 1533-position model. The record is from RNAcentral.